Chiroxiphia lanceolata (lance-tailed manakin) is the source of this 363-nucleotide long non-coding RNA. RefSeq lists it as uncharacterized. Lineage: Eukaryota; Metazoa; Chordata; Aves; Passeriformes; Pipridae. The transcript is spliced from 3 exons. The record is from RefSeq and is a predicted model, not a curated record.
CCACCCCAGCCUAGAACCUCAGAGUGGUCAGUGGGCCAGAGGCACUGCCUGGGGGGGAGUUGCCAUAGGGACCAGAGCAGAUAAAACCAAGGGCAUAUGUUUGCCACAUGUCACAGCCCUGCCAUGUGGACGUGUGAGAGCUUCCACAAGAUUCCAGUGCUAGAGAAAUUUAUGCUUAUGUGGUGUGCCUCACGGUAAUACUGGAAGUCUCCUGUAUCUACAUGCACUGUAUGGACUGCAUGUGAACAGUUUGUUGGUACAGAUUCCUGACAAGUCUACUUAGAGAAAACUGACUAAAGGGAAAUCAGCACUGCCUUCCAUCUGCGAGUCAAAAUUAUUCUGAAAAUGGACUGUGGAAUUAGG